RNAcentral lists this ribosomal RNA (498 nucleotides) under uncultured bacterium. RNAcentral's name for it is "partial 16S ribosomal RNA". It matches the Rfam family "Bacterial small subunit ribosomal RNA", at positions 28 to 508 of the family's 1533-position model. The record is from RNAcentral.
GACGAACGCUGGCGGCGUGCCUAAUACAUGCAAGUAGAACGCUGAAGAGAGGAGCUUGCUCUUCUUGGAUGAGUUGCGAACGGGUGAGUAACGCGUAGGUAACCUGCCUUGUAGCGGGGGAUAACUAUUGGAAACGAUAGCUAAUACCGCAUAACAAUGGAUGACACAUGUCAUUUAUUUGAAAGGGGCAAUUGCUCCACUACAAGAUGGACCUGCGUUGUAUUAGCUAGUAGGUGAGGUAAUGGCUCACCUAGGCGACGAUACAUAGCCGACCUGAGAGGGUGAUCGGCCACACUGGGACUGAGACACGGCCCAGACUCCUACGGGAGGCAGCAGUAGGGAAUCUUCGGCAAUGGAGGCAACCCUGACCGAGCAACGCCGCGUGAGUGAAGAAGGUGUUCGGAUCGUAAAGCUCUGUUGUAAGUCAAGAACGGGUGUGAGAGUGGAAAGUUCACACUGUGACGGUAGCUUACCAGAAAGGGACGGCUAACUACGUGC